GUUCCUCUUUGUUUCUCUCCAGCCACCCCAGCAGAGUUUCUCCUGUUUGGCAGUCAACACGUGUGCAGCUCAUCUGUUGUUGGGGAAGGCAUUCUCUUCCUCUUCCUCCAGCUGCCUGAAAAUCAUAUGCGUGGUUUUUCCUGUUUCCUGCUCUGUAGCUGACAUCAGGGGAGCAACGUGAACACAGGAAAAUGGAAAUCAACAUUUGAAACUUUUAAAUGGAAGCUUUAUUGGGGUUCCACAUAUGGAAAACUGCAAAUAGCAGAAGUAUGUGACUCAAUAAAUUAUUCUGGAGUGACCACAUCCUCUAACUGCCUCCCAGGACAAGACGGAGAAUGUGAACAAUGCUCCUGAAGGCCCCUUUCCCUCAAAGAAUCACUGCAAUUGAAGGAAAAAUGCUCCAUGUCCCCUCUGCCAGUUGGUGUUUAUCAAAGGACAACGGAGGAAGAGAGACAAAGUGCCUGGAUGUGUGUGUUAAUCAAGAGUUGUCAGGACCCUGCCUCUAAAAGAAAGCGCUAAAAUGAUGCUUUUGACAAGACUUUUCUCAAAGUGGAUGCAGUCUAAGGGUUGGAAAACAAGGCCCAAUCAGGCUAGGUCUGACUUGUCGCCUGCUUUUGUAAAUAAAGUUUUAUUGGCU
RNAcentral lists this long non-coding RNA (637 nucleotides) under Homo sapiens (human). RNAcentral describes it as "non-protein coding PANTR1:55". Lineage: Eukaryota; Metazoa; Chordata; Mammalia; Primates; Hominidae. The record is from RNAcentral.